This 83-nucleotide transfer RNA is filed under the name Canis lupus familiaris (dog). It matches the Rfam family "tRNA". Rfam says of the family: Transfer RNA (tRNA) molecules are approximately 80 nucleotides in length. RNAcentral also lists the same sequence under 1 other name. Lineage: Eukaryota; Metazoa; Chordata; Mammalia; Carnivora; Canidae. The record is from Rfam by way of RNAcentral.
GCCUGGGUGGCUCAGUGGUUGAGUGUCUGCCUUUGACUCAGGUUGUGAUCCCAAGGUCCUGGGUUCGAGUCCUGAAUCAGGCU